Molecule: transfer RNA, 73 nt
Filed under: Ixodes scapularis (black-legged tick)
Lineage: Eukaryota; Metazoa; Arthropoda; Arachnida; Ixodida; Ixodidae
Rfam family: tRNA
About the family: Transfer RNA (tRNA) molecules are approximately 80 nucleotides in length. Their secondary structure includes four short double-helical elements and three loops (D, anti-codon, and T loops). Further hydrogen bonds mediate the characteristic L-shaped molecular structure. tRNAs have two regions of fundamental functional importance: the anti-codon, which is responsible for specific mRNA codon recognition, and the 3' end, to which the tRNAs corresponding amino acid is attached (by aminoacyl-tRNA synthetases). tRNAs cope with the degeneracy of the genetic code in two manners: having more than one tRNA (with a specific anti-codon) for a particular amino acid; and 'wobble' base-pairing, i.e. permitting non-standard base-pairing at the 3rd anti-codon position.
Source: Rfam by way of RNAcentral
ACCUGGUAAGCUCAGUCGGUAGAGCGCUCCGCCUGUAAUGGAGAAGCCCCAGGUUCGAUACCCGGACCAGGCG